GACGAACGCUGGCGGCGUGCUUAACACAUGCAAGUCGAACGGAAAGGCCCUGCUUGCAGGGUACUCGAGUGGCGAACGGGUGAGUAACACGUGGGUGAUCUGCCCUGCACUUCGGGAUAAGCCUGGGAAACUGGGUCUAAUACCGGAUAGGAGCCAUUUUUAGUGUGAUGGUUGGAAAGUUUUUUCGGUGUAGGAUGAGCUCGCGGCCUAUCAGCUUGUUGGUGGGGUAAUGGCCUACCAAGGCGGCGACGGGUAGCCGGCCUGAGAGGGUGGACGGCCACAUUGGGACUGAGAUACGGACCAGACUCCUACGGGAGGCAGCAGUGGGGAAUAUUGCACAAUGGGCGCAAGCCUGAUGCAGCGACGCCGCGGGGGGGAUGACGGCCUUCGGGUUGUAAACUCAUUUCGCUAGGGACGAAGCUUUUUGUGACGGUACCUAGAGAAGAAGCACCGGCUAACUACGUG
RNAcentral lists this ribosomal RNA (465 nucleotides) under uncultured bacterium. RNAcentral's name for it is "partial 16S ribosomal RNA". It matches the Rfam family "Bacterial small subunit ribosomal RNA", at positions 28 to 507 of the family's 1533-position model. The record is from RNAcentral.